UAAUACGGGGGGGGCAAUCGUUGUUCGGAAUUACUGGGCGUAAAGGGCCAGUAUGCGGCCAACUAAGUCGGAUGUGAAAUCCCCAGGCUUAACUUGGGAACUGCAUCCGAUACUGGAUGGCUUGAAUUCGGGAGAGGGAUGCACAAUUCCACGUGUAGCGGUGAAAUGCGUAGAUAUCUGGAGGAAUACCGGUGGCGAAGGCGGCAUCCUGGACCGAGAUUGACGCUGAACGGCGAAAGCUAAGGGAGCAAACGGGAUUNUAUACCCCGGUAGUCCUAGCCCUAAACGAUGAAUGCUUGGUGUGGCGGGUAUCGAUCCCUGCCCGUGCCGAAGCUAACGCAUUAAGCAUUCCGCCUGGGGAGUACCGUCGCAAGGCUGAAACUCCUAAGGAAUUGACGGGGGCCCGCACAAGCCGUGGANCAUGUGGUUCAAUNCNACGCAACGCGAAGAACCUUACCCAGGCUCGAACGGCAUUGNACAUCCGGCGAAAGCCGGCUCCCGCAAGGGCCGAUGUCGAGGUGCUGCAUGGCUGUCGUCAGCUCGUGUCGUGAGAUGUUGGGUUAAGUCCCGCAACGAGCGCAACCCUUGUCCGCUGUUGCCAUCCGGUAAUGCUGGGCACUCUGCGGAGACUGCCGGUGAUAAACCGGAGGAAGGUGGGGAUGACGUCAAGUCAGCAUGGCCUUUAUGUCUGGGGCCACACACGUGCUACAAUGGCCGAUACAAACCGUCGCGAUACCGCAAGGUGGAGCUAAUCGGAGAAAGUCGGUCUCAGUUCGGAUUGCAGGCUGCAACUCGCCUGCAUGAAGUUGGAAUCGCUAGUAAUCGCGGAUCAGCACGCCGCGGUGAAUACGUUCCCGGGCCUUGUACACACCGCCCGUCACAUCACGAAAGCCGGCUGUACUAGAAGUCGCCGCGUUAACCCGCAAGGGAGACAAGCGCCUAAGGUAUGGUCGGUGAUUGGGGUG
Molecule: ribosomal RNA, 965 nt
Filed under: uncultured bacterium
Lineage: Bacteria
Description: bacterial SSU rRNA
Rfam family: Bacterial small subunit ribosomal RNA
Source: RNAcentral